CAGCGGAGCGUGUGGUUUAAUUCGACGCAACGCGAAGAACCUUACCUGGGCUUGACAUGCACGUGGUACGACCGGGAAACCGGGAGGACCCGCAAGGGAGCGUGCACAGAUGCUGCAUGGCUGUCGUCAGCUCGUGCCGUGAGGUGUUGGGUUAAGUCCCGCAACGAGCGCAACCCUCGCUGCCAGUUACCAUGUCUGGCGGGACCGCCGGGUCCAACCCGGAGGAAGGUGGGGAUGACGUGCUUGCUAGGUAA
Molecule: unclassified non-coding RNA, 254 nt
Filed under: uncultured Chloroflexota bacterium
Lineage: Bacteria; Bacillati; Chloroflexota
Description: uncultured Chloroflexi bacterium contains 16S-23S intergenic spacer region
Rfam family: Bacterial small subunit ribosomal RNA
Source: RNAcentral